AUCUAUGAAAACUCCUAGAUCCUUUGAGAUUCAUUGAACUUUCAAUGGCAUGUUUAAAUCUCGAUAUGCCCCUCUUGUUUGUGACUGGGAUGCCGAGGAUCACAAAGCGGGUGUGAAUAACCAUGCAAACUUACAUGGUGCCCUCACAUGUUACAGUCACCUAUUCGAUGUGCCGGUAAACCACACACGCUCCACCGAACUAUGACAAACAUUGAGUCACCCUUUGCUACCUUUGCUUAGAACCAUUUAGUGUGCCGGUAAACCACACACGCUCCACUAACGUCUUCGCAAGGGCACAAAGUGUAAUUUCAUGGAAUUGCAUCAAUUCACUUUUGCCUAAGUAACUAAGAUUGGGAAUUUUAUGAAAACAUUUAGUUACUUUUAUACUUCAUUAUACUUAUAAUGGAAGGUUUCGUCCUAUCCUACCCGUUCGGCUAACGACCCUCCACUAGUCAAGAGUGCGGUGGGUAAGAGUGGAUACCCAUUCAAUCGCCAUUUUAUAGGCAAUUUCCUUAAACACCCCUUAUAGACCAGCUUCGUGAAUGAGGCCUACUAACGGUAAGACUGACUUUUACUCAUACAUAUAUAUAAUGUUAGACUUUUAAUGUUAUAUAUAGUAUAGGGUGUAUUUUACACUUUUAAAAUACUAGGUGGUCAAAUUUAACAAUUAUACUUUUAAUUCAAUUAAAUUGUAAACCUAAACUUUUAUGGAUUUAUUAAACCUCUUUUAAUUAUACACCUUAAUUAAUUAAUAAAACCAUAAGGGUGUGAUUUGAACUUUUUCAAAACUAUACUAGAGUUUUAGAAUUUAACAUUCCUAAUUAAACUUUUAAUCAACUUUUAAAUUCCAAAACUUGAGGGCAAGUUUUGAAACAUUUCAACACAUUAGGGUUUAGAAUUUAAAUAUACAUCAAAAUUAAACUAUUUAAUCAAAAUUUAAAUUCCAAAACUUGAGGGCAAGUUUUGAAACCUUUUUCAAAACAUUAGGGUUUCAACUAUUUAAAUUUCAAAACAACAAAACUUUUGGGUUCAAAUUUAAACUAUAAAACCUAAGGGGAAAAAUAUGAAACUUUUCAUAACAACAAGGAUCAAAUAACAAAUAAUUCAAAUUAACAUUUAAUCACAUAAUUAUCCAUAUUUGAUUUAUUUAAUGAUUUCUUGCAAAACAAUUUAUCAAUUUACUCAAAAUAAUUAAUCAAUUAUCUUAUAAGGAAACAAUUAUCUUAUUAAUUGAUAAAUAUCUUCAAUUAGAUCAAAAAUAUAGUCAAAUAUAUCAUAUAAUCGGAUUAAUAUUGAUCUAACAUGAUAAGGUAAUUAUCCCAAUGCAAAAACAGCAAGAAAUCCCGAGAUAAGCACUAUCUGACGCACCGACUCGCCGAGUCACCCUCUGGAACUCGCCGAGUAGGGCUGACUCGCCGAGUCCAAGAGUGACUCGCCGAGUCAGGUCGAACAGUGAGGCCAAAACACGAUUUUCAGUUACAUCAAGCAUCAAUACAAUAGAAACCAAUCAUGGCUCUGAUACCACUGAUGGGUUUUGGUCAUAAGACAUCCUAUGUGCUCAUACAAACCCUAAAGCUUGGAUCUAGGUUUCUCUAUUGUACAUGCAAGUUAUCCAAGACUAUAAACCCUAUGUCUUGCAUACAAGUAAUCAUAUGAACAUAAGAAUGGGUUUAAGUUAUUACCUUGAUUGUUAUAUAGCAAUAACAAUCCCAAAUCCUUCUUGUAUUGACUUUAGAAAGCUUAGAGUCACAAAUGUCACUCCUCUAAUGGUUCACAAACACCAAGAGCAAGAGGAUGAGGAGGAGAGAGGAUGGAGGCUGCCCAAAACGUGUUCUAACCCUAGAAGAGAAGUUCCCCACGUUUUUUAUCAUUAACGGUUCUAUAUAUAGUGAGGUUAUUAGGGUUAUCUAACAAGGAAACCCUAAUUUGGAUGCUUAAGCCCUAAGCAACCCAUGGACCCCUUUCCUUAAGGCCUUGGACGAUUUCUUAUGGGUUUCCCCAUAGAAUUCGUCCACUCCUUAAUAUAAGGCAAUCCAUAGCCCAAAUUGCAAUUAUCUUAUAAUUACAAUUCCAGUCCCUUAAGUUUAAUUAAUCUCUUUUAGUCACAAAACUAAUUACCAAUUAAUUAUUGACUAAUAUUAAUUAAACAAUAUGAUUUCUCCUUUAAUAUAUUAUUCUCAUAAUAUAUUAACAAAUCAUAUUUAAUCCUUCCUCUCCAUAAUUCAUCCUAUCAAGUUGCUUUGGUGAAGGCAACCCAAAAGGACCAUCCACCAUCGGGUCAAGUACAUACUAAAAUAGUUAUGGGCUUAGACACUAAUCCAAGAGUAUAAUCAUAUUUACUUAACUUUUAGUAAAUCAUGACGAAUAUCUUGUUACUCUGAUGGUGGACUUGAUCAACACGCAACUUUGUGUACUCGAUCUCCUAGUCCUUCACUUGACACUUUGUCAAUGAAUUAGUCUAAUUUCCAAAUAUGAAAUUUCUCAUUCAUCGUGCAACCAAGUUGCAUGAUUCCAAGUUUCUGUCCAAUUGAAACUUGGGCGAUGAGAAACUCUCCCUAUUUGGUAAAUUCUCGACAUUUCCACAAACAACAUAAUUAAGAAUCAAAUCCAUUAUUUCUAAUAUUAGAAACCCUCAAACAUCAAUUUUCAUGCAUGCCAUUGCAAGGAUAAAUAAAUAAUAUAAAAUCAAAAUUUAUUUUAUUGCGGAAAAAUUUGUCCUUACAAUGCAAUUCAUUGAUAAACUAUGCUAAUACAUAUUUCUAAUUCUAACUCUAAGUAGUAGCUCAAGAAUCUAAUCUUCAAGUAAUGCGAUCGAAAUCCAUUCCUUCACGGUUAGAUUCUGCUCACUUCUUCCCUUAAGCUUCCUUUCUUUUCUUCGAUCCUACAACACAUCAAUUGUAAUCUUAUCACAUUAUGUAUUAAGAAUCUAGAAUAGGAGCUUAAAAGAGUUAGUCAAUGGAUUUUUCCUAAAGCAGAGCCAUACGUUUUGACUAUCCCAUCUCUUAGAUCUCUUAGGUAAAUAGGGCAGCUUCGUCUCCAAUGCCCCUUCUCUUGGCAAUAGAAGCAAAUUGACUCUUUUGGAACAGCACAUGGAACUACUUCAGAUAUUGCCUUUCUCUUAUGAUCAAACUCUUCGAUCAUAGCAUGUCUUUCGUUGCCAUUGUCAAUAUCCACAGAGGUCUUGAAGGCAGAUUCACCAAUCAACUUUGCUUUCUAUCGCGCCAAACCAUUGUUGAUUCAGCGGCAAUAAGCAUAUAGGUGAGAUCUAUAAGGGUCACGUCGCAGUUCAUCAUAUAGUACUCUCUUACGAACUCACUAUAUGAGUUAGGAAGUGACUGAAGAACCCAGUUAACAGCCAUCUCCUCACAGACAACGGAUCCCAACAUUCUUAACCUAUCAAUGUGUGACUUCAUCCCUAGGACGUGUACACACACCGACUUUCCUUGUUAAUAUUUACUUGCCAAAAGGGCUUGAGUGAGCUUGAACUUUUCAAGCCUUCGAACUUGUGGGUUAAGGAGAAUAAUUGAAGGAGGUGGAGGAAGAGAAGCAAGAUCUCUUGUUCCUCGAUCGAAUCAUGGAAUAUCAUGUUCAUGCGGAAUGCUUGUUCCACGGGAUUUGGGAAGACCAUAUUUGUCAUACUUUGACAUCUACAAAACGGGAGAAAACGAAUUCAAGUUAGUUGAUUGAUUGAAUCCUUAGUAAAUCACCCAAAUGAGAUACUAAGGCUAGGACCCAACACAAUAUUCUACAACUCGGGAGAGGGAUGCCGUAACCCUAAUUGCAGAAUAUUUGAAGGUAAGUGAAUGACGAUUCACUAAUUUCCACCAUGAAAAACGAAAAAGAAAUUUAAGUUUUAAAUCUAUGAAAACUCCUAGAUCCUUUGAGAUUCAUUGAACUUUCAAUGGCAUGUUUAAAUCUCCAUAUGCCCCACUAGUUUGUGACUGGGAUUCCGAGGAUCACAAAGCGGGUGUGGAUAACCAUGCAAACUUACAUGGUGCCCUCACAUGUUACAGUCACCUAUUCGAUGUGCUAGUAAACCACACACGCUCCACCGAACUAUGACAAACAUUGAGUCACCUUUUGCUACCUUUGCUUAGAAUCAUUUAGUGUGCCGGUUAACCACACACGCUCCACUAACGUCUUC
Molecule: long non-coding RNA, 4144 nt
Filed under: Lactuca sativa (garden lettuce)
Lineage: Eukaryota; Viridiplantae; Streptophyta; Magnoliopsida; Asterales; Asteraceae
Description: long non-coding RNA (LSAT_LNC007306)
Source: RNAcentral